UGAAGAAGUCCAUCACGAAUCUGCUGUGCCACCUCUUUUACAGCACCAGGUCCAUGGGGGAUGAAGACAGCGGAUGAUUUGCUGGAAGCGCCAAUUUCUUUCAUGGUGUCAAAGUACUGGGUUACGAGGACCAUGUCCAUAACAUCCUUUGCCGUAGUUCCAGGCACAUUGACUGAAAAUCCUAGCACACUGUCUCUCAGACCAUCCACAAUUGCUUGACGUUGUCGUGCAAUACCUAAUCCUGAGAGAUACUUAGACUCGGCCUCUCCUUCAGCCCUCUUAAUUUGCAAGAUCUUCUCGGCCUCUGCCUUCUCAUUAGCAGCCACCCUCAGCCGAGCAGCAGCAUUGAUUUCAUUCAUAGCUCUCUUCACAUGCUCAUCUGGUACUAUAUCAACGAUGAGUGUCUGAACAAUUUCAUAUCCAUAAGCUGACAUAGCUUUCUCAAGUUCCUCCUCAACAGCCUUGGCAAUUUCAUUUUUUUGCUCAAACACAUCAUCAAGAAUGAGUUUAGGAACACUAGCUCUUAUGACAUCAAAAACAUAUGCCUGAAUCUGACCCUUAGUGUUACUUAGCUUGUAGAAAGCUUCAUUUGCUUUGUCGGCAAUGGCACGAUACUGAAUUGAUGCGACAACAUUGACAAAUACGUUAUCCUUCGUCUUGGUUUCACAGCGCACAUCUAGUUGUUGCACCCUGAGGGAGAGAUGACCAGCCAACUGGCUUCCGAGGAACCAAGGCACACAGUGGCACCCUGGCUCAAGCACAUCCUGAUACUUGCCAAACUGCUCCUUAAUUGCAACAGUGGAUUGAUCAACUUGAACACAACAGAACAAAUUGCCCAUAUUGAAUUAUGAAACAAAAUCAAGAACGGCAGAAUAAUAAGAAUUCAC
Molecule: unclassified non-coding RNA, 887 nt
Filed under: Hevea brasiliensis (rubber tree)
Lineage: Eukaryota; Viridiplantae; Streptophyta; Magnoliopsida; Malpighiales; Euphorbiaceae
Source: RNAcentral